RNAcentral lists this ribosomal RNA (503 nucleotides) under uncultured bacterium. Its description in RNAcentral is "partial 16S ribosomal RNA". It matches the Rfam family "Bacterial small subunit ribosomal RNA", at positions 30 to 523 of the family's 1533-position model. The record is from RNAcentral.
AUUGAACGCUGGCGGCAGGCUUAACACAUGCAAGUCGAGCGGGGUGAUGGUGCUUGCACUAUCACUUAGCGGCGGACGGGUGAGUAAUGCUUAGGAAUCUGCCUAUUAGUGGGGGACAACAUCUCGAAAGGGAUGCUAAUACCGCAUACGUCCUACGGGAGAAAGCAGGGGAUCACUUGUGACCUUGCGCUAAUAGAUGAGCCUAAGUCGGAUUAGCUAGUGGGUGGGGUAAAGGCCUACCAAGGCGACGAUCUGUAGCGGGUCUGAGAGGAUGAUCUGCCACACUGGGACUGAGACACGGCCCAGACUCCUACGGGAGGCAGCAGUGGGGAAUAUUGGACAAUGGGGGGAACCCUGAUCCAGCCAUGCCGCGUGUGUGAAGAAGGCCUUAUGGUUGUAAAGCACUUUAAGCGAGGAGGAGGCUCUAUUGGUUAAUACCCAAGAUGAGUGGACGUUACUCGCAGAAUAAGCACCGGCUAACUCUGUGCCAGCAGCCGCCGUAA